UGUGAUAUUAGAUGAAAAAUCAUAAUGUCCAAGAUGUUCAUAUUAGGCUAGUUAAGUUAUAAAUUCAAUGCCAUAGCAAUUAAAAAUCUCAACACACCUAGAUGUAAACUUAACUGAGGCUGAAAUUUAUGCAAAAUUUAUAUAAAGCAAAAGACUUAUUUUAUAUAAAUCUUUAAACUUUUAACUCUAUAGAAAUAAUAUUUAUAUAUACAAAUAUAACUGUACAUAUAUUUAUAACCGAGGUUUAAUAUCCUGAACACGAAUAAAAAUCCUCUAAGUCAGUCAGUAUAACAAAAAUAAAUUAAACCACCUCUUUAGCCCCUGGAAAGUAGGCAAAGGAUAUGAACACAUAAGGCACAGAUUAGGAACCCCUGGUAAUAUCUAGUAAACACAUCAAGUCUGCUUUUAGUUAUAUUGCAGAGAAACUCUUACACAUGUACUUCCAGGGGCAUGUACCAAACUGCUAACUGCAAUGUUGAUUGUAAUUUAAAUAAAUAAAUACCUGAAAUGGGGUACAUUACAAUACUGUAUAGCAGUUAAAAUGAAAUGAGAUUUAAAUAUAGUCACUGAAGAGAUCUCAAACAAAUAUUUAGUGAAAAUCUAUGACAAACAUGGUAUAAUUUAGAAAAAUCUGAAUACCCACAUACCCCAAAUAUAAUACUAUUAUGGGUAAACCUAUGUAAUAAACAUGGACUUGAAGAAAACAUAGUAACUUCAGAACAAUAGUCAUUUUUAGGAGAAAGGAGAGACAUGGGGCUUCUGGGAUCCAAAUAAUACCUGAAACAAAAAUUAGAGAUUAAUACUUAGUAGUUUCGGUGAUUGAAUCAUGGAUAUGCAUUAAACCAUCUCUGUACUUUUCUGUAUUGUUAAAUCAUUCUCAACAUGUUUUAAAAGUGCUAAAUAUUUUAAAUGUGAUGAUUAUUGGCUCAAGACAAAUAAAAACCAAAAAAACCAUAAAAUGCAAUCUACUUUUUUUCCCAUUCCUUUUUUCCCCUCAUAAUCUAAGCGUGGGAAGUAACUAUUAAUGUAGCUUGAACUUAUCUCAUGUUGGAUUUGGAGGCUUGUAGACAUAAUUACAUUUAUCAUAUAAUGCCUCCAGUUUUUCCAAUAUCAAUGAAGGAGAAAGUAUCCUUAGCUAACAAAGUGAGCAAGCUGCCUAAGAACCAUUGUUUUACAAACUAUUACUUCCAAGGGCCAUUAUCUUUGCUUUUGUUUAAUUUACCAUUAAGAUUGAGUUCUAUGAUGCAACAGAAAUGUACUUGUUAAUUUUGAAAACCCCAGGAUAUCUCAGUUUUUUUUUUUUUAAAAAAAGCUUGCAUUUCGCACAUGGGAAUCAAAACAUCAGCAGCUCAGAAAACCCUCCAAAGCGUCUAUGUCCAAAGAGGCCCUUGUGCUCUGUGCUUUUACUCUCAAUUUUUCUUUACCUAAGAUUCUUUCCAAGAAAGGCAAAAAUCACUUAGAUAAAAUUUGUGGGUGUAUUCUUUCACUAAAAAUCACACUACUUUGAACUUGAUGGCAUUUGUAGCCAGUCACAACCCAAUAAUCAGGGCAGAACAAGUCCUUGAACAGAAUUCCCCUAAAAACAAUCAAAUUUAUAACCCAGCAAAGCCUGCAGAAGAUAUUCUCAAAUCCUUCCAAUGGCUGCAAAUGCCUUAAUUAAUGUGUGUCCAUCCUCUGAAAAUCAUUUUUUUUUUGUAGUUUUUAAAUUUUGGAAUAAUUUCAGGACUAUAGAAUGUUGCAAGCCUAGUACAAAGAACCCUUGAACACUUUACCUGGACACAUACAUACACACAUACAUGCGCACACAGAGAUACAAAUUAUCAUAAUCUUUCAGAGACUUUUGGCAGUAAGUCUUACAGAUAUGAUAUCAUUUUAACCCUAUAUGUAUAUUUCAGUGUGCACUCCCUAAGAACAAGGACAUGUACUUACAUAAUCACAGUAAAAAUAUCAAUAUUAGGAAACUGGCAUUGAUAUAGUGUUAUUUUUAAUCUAUAAGCUCUGUUAACAUUUUGCCAAUUACAACAAUAAUGUUUUCUGUAGAAAAAAAAAAAAAA
Molecule: long non-coding RNA, 2054 nt
Filed under: Canis lupus familiaris (dog)
Lineage: Eukaryota; Metazoa; Chordata; Mammalia; Carnivora; Canidae
Description: lncRNA (ENSCAFG00000054405.1)
Source: RNAcentral